This 552-nucleotide ribosomal RNA is filed under the name Penicillium crustosum. RNAcentral describes it as "eukaryotic LSU rRNA". The stretch from base 171 to 323 matches the Rfam family "5.8S ribosomal RNA". The record is from RNAcentral. Lineage: Eukaryota; Fungi; Ascomycota; Eurotiomycetes; Eurotiales; Aspergillaceae.
GAUAAGCCGGAGGAAUCCACCUCCCACCCGUGUUUAUUUUACCUUGUUGCUUCGGCGGGCCCGCCUUAACUGGCCGCCGGGGGGCUUACGCCCCCGGGCCCGCGCCCGCCGAAGACACCCUCGAACUCUGUCUGAAGAUUGAAGUCUGAGUGAAAAUAUAAAUUAUUUAAAACUUUCAACAACGGAUCUCUUGGUUCCGGCAUCGAUGAAGAACGCAGCGAAAUGCGAUACGUAAUGUGAAUUGCAAAUUCAGUGAAUCAUCGAGUCUUUGAACGCACAUUGCGCCCCCUGGUAUUCCGGGGGGCAUGCCUGUCCGAGCGUCAUUGCUGCCCUCAAGCCCGGCUUGUGUGUUGGGCCCCGUCCCCCGAUCUCCGGGGGACGGGCCCGAAAGGCAGCGGCGGCACCGCGUCCGGUCCUCGAGCGUAUGGGGCUUUGUCACCCGCUCUGUAGGCCCGGCCGGCGCUUGCCGAUCAACCCAAAUUUUUAUCCAGGUUGACCUCGGAUCAGGUAGGGAUACCCGCUGAACUUAAGCAUAUCAAUAAAGCGGAGGAA